This 64-nucleotide transfer RNA is filed under the name Coleofasciculaceae cyanobacterium SM2_3_26. Its description in RNAcentral is "tRNA-Ser". Lineage: Bacteria; Bacillati; Cyanobacteriota; Cyanophyceae; Coleofasciculales; Coleofasciculaceae. The record is from RNAcentral.
GGAAGCUUACAUACUGGUCAUUCUCCUGCAAAGAGAAUAGGUUCGAAUCCUACAGCCUCCACCA